RNAcentral lists this ribosomal RNA (485 nucleotides) under uncultured Gammaproteobacteria bacterium. Its description in RNAcentral is "bacterial SSU rRNA". It matches the Rfam family "Bacterial small subunit ribosomal RNA", at positions 30 to 508 of the family's 1533-position model. The record is from RNAcentral. Lineage: Bacteria; Pseudomonadati; Pseudomonadota; Gammaproteobacteria.
AUUGAACGCUGGCGGCAGGCCUAACACAUGCAAGUCGAGCGGAUGAGAGGAGCUUGCUCUUCGAUUUCAGCGGCGGACGGGUGAGUAAUGCCUAGGAAUCUGCCUGGUAGUGGGGGACAACGUUUCGAAAGGGAACGCUAAUAACACGCAUACGUCUACGGGAAGAAAGCGGGGGCUUCGGGCCUCGCGCCUUAGAUGAGCCUAGGUCGGAUUAGCUAGUUGGUGAGGUAAAGGCUCACCAAGRCGACGAUCCGUAACUGGUCUGAGAGGAUGAUCAGUCACACUGGAACUGAGACACGGUCCAGACYCUACGGGAGGRRAGRAGUGGGGAAUAUUGGACAAUGGGCGAAAGCCUGAUCCAGCCAUGCCGCGUGUGUGAAGAAGGUCUUCGGAUUGUAAAGCACUUUAAGUUGGGAGGAAGGGUAGUGACUUAAUVCGUUGCUMCUUUGMCGUUACCGACAGAAUAAGCACCGGCUGACUCGUGC